CAGCAGCCGCGGUAAUACGAAGGGGGCUAGCGUUGUUCGGAUUUACUGGGCGUAAAGGGCGCGUAGGCGGACUGAUAAGUCAGGGGUGAAAUCCCAAGGCUCAACCUUGGAACUGCCUUUGAUACUGUUUGUCUUGAGUUCGAGAGAGGUAAGUGGAACUGCGAGUGUAGAGGUGAAAUUCGUAGAUAUUCGCAAGAACACCAGUGGCGAAGGCGGCUUACUGGCUCGAAACUGACGCUGAGGCGCGAAAGCGUGGGGAGCAAACAGGAUUAGAUACCCGAGUAGUCCCUGUCUCUUAUAC
RNAcentral lists this ribosomal RNA (301 nucleotides) under uncultured bacterium. RNAcentral describes it as "partial 16S ribosomal RNA". It matches the Rfam family "Bacterial small subunit ribosomal RNA", at positions 509 to 807 of the family's 1533-position model. The record is from RNAcentral.